AGAGUUUGAUCCUGGCUCAGGACGAACGCUGGCGGCGUGCUUAACACAUGCAAGUCGAACGAUGAUGCCCUGCUUGCAGGGUGGAUUAGUGGCGAACGGGUGAGUAACACGUGGGUGAUCUGCCCCGCACUUCGGGAUAAGCCUGGGAAACUGGGUCUAAUACCGGAUACGACCCCCUGGUAGGUCAGGGGGUGGAAAGAUUUAUCGGUGUGGGAUGAGCCUGCGGCCUAUCAGCUUGUUGGUGGGGUAAUGGCCUACCAAGGCGUCGACGGGUAGCCGGCCUGAGAGGGUGAUCGGCCACAUUGGGACUGAGACACGGCCCAGACUCCUACGGGAGGCAGCAGUGGGGAAUAUUGCACAAUGGGCGCAAGCCUGAUGCAGCGACGCCGCGUGGGGGAUGACGGCCUUCGGGUUGUAAACUCCUUUCGACAGGGACGAAGCUUAUGUGACGGUACCUGUAGAAGAAGCACCGGCUAACUACGUGCCAGCAGCCGCGGUAAUACGUAGGGUGCGAGCGUUGUCCGGAAUUACUGGGCGUAAAGAGCUCGUAGGUGGUUUGUCGCGUCGUCUGUGAAAUCCCGGGGCUUAACCUCGGGCGUGCAGGCGAUACGGGCAUAACUUGAGUGCUGUAGGGGAGACUGGAAUUCCUGGUGUAGCGGUGAAAUGCGCAGAUAUCAGGAGGAACACCAAUGGCGAAGGCAGGUCUCUGGGCAGUAACUGACGCUGAGGAGCGAAAGCAUGGGUAGCGAACAGGAUUAGAUACCCUGGUAGUCC
Molecule: ribosomal RNA, 774 nt
Filed under: uncultured bacterium
Lineage: Bacteria
Description: bacterial SSU rRNA
Rfam family: Bacterial small subunit ribosomal RNA
Source: RNAcentral